RNAcentral lists this ribosomal RNA (406 nucleotides) under uncultured bacterium. RNAcentral describes it as "partial 16S ribosomal RNA". It matches the Rfam family "Bacterial small subunit ribosomal RNA", at positions 29 to 526 of the family's 1533-position model. The record is from RNAcentral.
AUUGAACGCUGGCGGCAGGCCUAACACAUGCAAGUCGAACGAGUGGCGGACGGGUGAGUAAUGUCUAUGAAACUGCCCGAUGGAGGGGGAUAACUACUGGAAACGGUAGCUAAUACCGCAUACCAUCGGAUGUGCCCAGAUGGGAUGAGCUAGUGGGUGGGGUAACGGCUCACCUAGGCGACGAUCCCUAGCUGGUCUGAGAGGAUGACCAGCAACACUGGAACUGAGAAACGGUCCAGACUCCACCGGGAGGCAGAAGGGGGGAAUAUGGGACAAGGGGCGCAAGCCGGAUACAGCCAUGCCGCGUGUAUGAAGAGGGCCUUCGGGUUGUAAAGUACGUUCAGCGAGGAGGCGUUACUCGCAGAAGAAGCACCGGCUAACUCCGUGCCAGCAGCCGCGGUAAUAC